This 1641-nucleotide ribosomal RNA is filed under the name Candidatus Moraniibacteriota bacterium. RNAcentral's name for it is "bacterial SSU rRNA". It matches the Rfam family "Bacterial small subunit ribosomal RNA". The record is from RNAcentral. Lineage: Bacteria; Candidatus Moraniibacteriota.
UUUUUUGAGAGUUUGAUCCUGGCUCAGGAUGAACGCUGGCGGCGUGGAUAAGGCAUGCAAGUCGAGAGGGUUAGACCCUCGGCAAACGGGUUAGUAAUACAUAGGAACGUACCCUCAAGUCGUGAAUAAUCCAGAGAAAUCUGGAAUAAUACACGAUAAUCUCUACGGAGUAAAGAUUUAUCGCUUGAGGAGCGGCCUGUGUCCUAUCAGCUAGUUGGUAAGGUAAUGGCUUACCAAGGCUAUGACGGGUAGGGGGCGUGAGAGCGUGAUCCCCAACAUUGGAACUGAGACACUGUCCAAACACCUACGGGUGGCUGCAGUCGAGAAUAUUCCACAAUGGGCGAAAGCCUGAUGGAGCGACGCCGCGUGCGGGAAGAAGACCCUUGGGUUGUAAACCGCUUUUGUAAGGGAAGAAUCCCACACCUUUUGGUUUUUUUGAUAUGAAAAAAUUCAAAAAGGCUUUUUAGAAAAGAGCCAAAAGGCGUGGGAUGACGGUACCUUGCGAAUAAGAGGUUGCUAACUCUGUGCCAGCAGCAGCGGUAAUACAGAGACCUCAAGCGUUAUCCGGAUUUAUUGGGCGUAAAGAGCAUGUAGGCGGAUAUAUUAGUCAGAUGUCAAAUCUUCGAGCUCAACUCGAAAACUGCAUUUGAAACGGUAUAUCUUGAGGAAGUGAGAGAUCAAUGGAACGUAUGGUGUAGCAGUGAAAUGCGUUGAUAUCAUACGGAACACCAAAGGCGAAGGCAUUUGAUUGGCACUUUUCUGACGCUGAGAUGCGAAAGCGUGGGUAGCGAAUGGGAUUAGAUACCCCAGUAGUCCACGCCGUAAACGAUGCAUACUUGGUAUUACGAGAAUCGACCCUCGUAGUGUCGUAGCUAACGCGUUAAGUAUGCCGCCUGGGAAGUACGAGCGCAAGCUUAAAACUCAAAGGAAUAGACGGGGAUCCGCACAAGUGGUGGAGCAUGUGGUUUAAUUCGACGACAAGCGAGGAACCUCACCAGGGCUUGAAACUAUACUGCAUUAUGUAGAAAUACAUAAGCCUUCGAGGGUGUAUAGCAGGCGUUGCACGGUCGUCGUCAGCUCGUGUCGUAAGAUGUUCUGUUAAGUCAGGAAACGAGCGCAACCCCUAUCGUGUGUUAUUAUGUCACACGAGACUGCCCAGAACUUUGCACAUUAGUGUAAAGUAAUGACCAAUAACCAAGAAACAAUAACCAAAAUUUUGGAAUUUGUAUCUUGUAUCUUGGAAUUUACUUUGCGAACUAUAGUGAGCAAAGUUCUGGGAGGAAGGCGGGGAUGACGUCAGAUCAGCGUGGCCCUUUGACGCCCUGGGCUACACACGUGCUACAAUGGCCAUUACAAAGGGUAGCCAAAUCGCAAGAUGGAGCUAAUCCCAUAAAGAUGGUCUCAGUUCGGAUUGAGGUCUGCAACUCGACCUCAUGAAGCCGGAAUCACUAGUAAUCGUGAAUCAGCCAUGUCACGGUGAAUACGUUCUCGGAUCUUGUACUCACCGCCCGUCACACCAAGAGAGUCGGUAACACCGGAAGACCCCGAAUCAAAUCGGGGGCCAGGGUGGGAUCGAUGAUAAGGGUGAAGUCGUAACAAGGCAUCGGUAGCGGAAGCUGUCGAUGGAUCACCUCCUUUCUA